GAAAAAUUUUCCUACAAAGAUGAGGUUGCAUUUGAAUGCCUGAAGGGUUUCUACCUUAAUGGCAGCAACCCAGUGUUCUGUGGUGGAAACAGUACUUGGGAGCCUGAGAUGCCCACAUGUAUUAAAGGUUUCAAGCCUACUCAUCCAACCAAACCUCCACUUUCAAGAUAUCCAGGAUAUCCCAAGCCUCUUGAAUCACCACCAAUUGAAGAG
This is a long non-coding RNA of Myotis lucifugus (little brown bat), 213 nucleotides long. RefSeq lists it as uncharacterized. The record is from RefSeq and is a predicted model, not a curated record. The transcript is spliced from 3 exons. NCBI's taxonomy places the organism in Eukaryota, Metazoa, Chordata, Mammalia, Chiroptera, Vespertilionidae.